GAGGAAUAUUGGACAAUGGAGGAAACUCUGAUCCAGCCAUGCCGCGUGAGUGAAGAAGGCCUUCGGGUUGUAAAGCUCUUUUGUCCCUGACGAUAAUGACGGUAAGGGAAGAAAAAGCCACGGCUAACUUCGUGCCAGCAGCCGCGGUAAUACGAAGGUGGCAAGCGUUAUUCGGAUUUACUGGGCGUAAAGCGUGCGUAGGCGGUUUGAUAAGUCAGAAGUGAAAGCCCAGGGCUCAACCUUGGAAUUGCUUUUGAAACUAUUUUACUUGAAUCCGGUAGAGGUUGGCGGAAUUCUCAGUGUAGAGGUGAAAUUCGCAGAUAUUGAGAGGAACACCAGUGGCGUAAGCGGCCAACUGGACCGGUAUUGACGCUGAGGCACGAAAGCAUGGGGAGCAAAC
RNAcentral lists this ribosomal RNA (400 nucleotides) under uncultured bacterium. RNAcentral describes it as "bacterial SSU rRNA". It matches the Rfam family "Bacterial small subunit ribosomal RNA", at positions 356 to 773 of the family's 1533-position model. The record is from RNAcentral.